AGAGUUUGAUCAUGGCUCAGAUUGAACGCUGGCGGCAGGCCUAACACAUGCAAGUCGAACGGUAACAGGAAGCAGCUUGCUGCUUCGCUGACGAGUGGCGGACGGGUGAGUAAUGUCUGGGAAGCUGCCUGAUGGAGGGGGAUAACUACUGGAAACGGUGGCUAAUACCGCAUAACGUCGCAAGACCAAAGAGGGGGACCUUCGGGCCUCUUGCCAUCAGAUGUGCCCAGAUGGGAUUAGCUAGUUGGUGAGGUAACGGCUCACCAAGGCGACGAUCCCUAGCUGGUCUGAGAGGAUGACCAGCCACACUGGAACUGAGACACGGUCCAGACUCCUACGGGAGGCAGCAGUGGGGAAUAUUGCACAAUGGGCGCAAGCCUGAUGCAGCCAUGCCGCGUGUAUGAAGAAGGCCUUCGGGUUGUAAAGUACUUUCAGCGGGGAGGAAGGUGUUGUGGUUAAUAACCGCAGCAAUUGACGUUACCCGCAGAAGAAGCACCGGCUAACUCCGUGCCAGCAGCCGCGGUAAUACGGAGGGUGCAAGCGUUAAUCGGAAUUACUGGGCGUAAAGCGCACGCAGGCGGUCUGUCAAGUCGGAUGUGAAAUCCCCGGGCUCAACCUGGGAACUGCAUUCGAAACUGGCAGGCUUGAGUCUUGUAGAGGGGGGUAGAAUUCCAGGUGUAGCGGUGAAAUGCGUAGAGAUCUGGAGGAAUACCGGUGGCGAAGGCGGCCCCCUGGACAAAGACUGACGCUCAGGUGCGAAAGCGUGGGGAGCAAACAGGAUUAGAUACCCUGGUAGUCCACGCCGUAAACGAUGUCUACUUGGAGGUUGUGCCCUUGAGGCGUGGCUUCCGGAGCUAACGCGUUAAGUAGACCGCCUGGGGAGUACGGCCGCAAGGUUAAAACUCAAAUGAAUUGACGGGGGCCCGCACAAGCGGUGGAGCAUGUGGUUUAAUUCGAUGCAACGCGAAGAACCUUACCUGGUCUUGACAUCCACAGAACUUUCCAGAGAUGGAUUGGUGCCUUCGGGAACUGUGAGACAGGUGCUGCAUGGCUGUCGUCAGCUCGUGUUGUGAAAUGUUGGGUUAAGUCCCGCAACGAGCGCAACCCUUAUCCUUUGUUGCCAGCGGUCCGGCCGGGAACUCAAAGGAGACUGCCAGUGAUAAACUGGAGGAAGGUGGGGAUGACGUCAAGUCAUCAUGGCCCUUACGACCAGGGCUACACACGUGCUACAAUGGCGCAUACAAAGAGAAGCGACCUCGCGAGAGCAAGCGGACCUCAUAAAGUGCGUCGUAGUCCGGAUUGGAGUCUGCAACUCGACUCCAUGAAGUCGGAAUCGCUAGUAAUCGUGGAUCAGAAUGCCACGGUGAAUACGUUCCCGGGCCUUGUACACACCGCCCGUCACACCAUGGGAGUGGGUUGCAAAAGAAGUAGGUAGCUUAACCUUCGGGAGGGCGCUUACCACUUUGUGAUUCAUGACUGGGGUGAAGUCGUAACAAGGUAACCGUAGGGGAACCUGCGGUUGGAUCACCU
Molecule: ribosomal RNA, 1530 nt
Filed under: Salmonella enterica subsp. enterica
Lineage: Bacteria; Pseudomonadati; Pseudomonadota; Gammaproteobacteria; Enterobacterales; Enterobacteriaceae
Description: bacterial SSU rRNA
Rfam family: Bacterial small subunit ribosomal RNA
Source: RNAcentral